GGGAGGCAGCAGUGGGGAAUAUUGGACAAUGGGCGCAAGCCUGAUCCAGCAAUGCCGCGUGUGUGAAGAAGGCCUUCGGGUUGUAAAGCACUUUUAUCAGGAGCGAAAUGCCAUGGGCCAAUACCCCGUGGAGCUGACGGUACCUGAGGAAUAAGCACCGGCUAACUUCGUGCCAGCAGCCGCGGUAAUACGAAGGGUGCAAGCGUUAAUCGGAAUUACUGGGCGUAAAGGGUGCGUAGGCGGUUCGUUAAGUCUGUCGUGAAAUCCCCGGGCUCAACCUGGGAAUGGCGAUGGAUACUGGCGGGCUAGAGUGUGUCAGAGGAUGGUGGAAUUCCCGGUGUAGCGGUGAAAUGCGUAGAGAUCGGGAGGAACAUCAGUGGCGAAGGCGGCCAUCUGGGACAACACUGACGCUGAAGCACGAAAGCGUGGGGAGCAAACAGGAUUAGAUACCCUGGUAGUCCACGCCCUAAACGAUGCGAACUGGAUGUUGGUCUCAACUCGGAGAUCAGUGUCGAAGCAAACGCGUUAAGUUCGCCGCCUGGGGAGUACGGUCGCAAGACUGAAACUCAAAGGAAUUGACGGGGGCCCGCACAAGCGGUGGAGUAUGUGGUUUAAUUCGAUGCAACGCGAAGAACCUUACCUGGCCUUGACAUGUCCGGAAUCCUGCAGAGAUGCGGGAGUGCCUUCGGGAAUCGGAACACAGGUGCUGCAUGGCUGUCGUCAGCUCGUGUCGUGAGAUGUUGGGUUAAGUCCCGCAACGAGCGCAACCCUUGUCCUUAGUUGCCAGCACGUAAAGGUGGGAACUCUAAGGAGACUGCCGGUGACAAACCGGAGGAAGGUGGGGAUGACGUCAAGUCCUCAUGGCCCUUACGGCCAGGGCUACACACGUACUACAAUGGUCGGUACAGAGGGUUGCAAUACCGCGAGGUGGAGCCAAUCCCAGAAAGCCGAUCCCAGUCCGGAUUGGAGUCUGCAACUCGACUCCGUGAAGUCGGAAUCGCUAGUAAUCGCAGAUCAGCUAUGCUGCGGUGAAUACGUUCCCGGGCCUUGUACACUCCGCCC
This 1062-nucleotide ribosomal RNA is filed under the name uncultured Lysobacteraceae bacterium. RNAcentral's name for it is "bacterial SSU rRNA". It matches the Rfam family "Bacterial small subunit ribosomal RNA", at positions 343 to 1395 of the family's 1533-position model. The record is from RNAcentral. Lineage: Bacteria; Pseudomonadati; Pseudomonadota; Gammaproteobacteria; Lysobacterales; Lysobacteraceae.